Molecule: ribosomal RNA, 694 nt
Filed under: uncultured bacterium
Lineage: Bacteria
Description: bacterial SSU rRNA
Rfam family: Bacterial small subunit ribosomal RNA
Source: RNAcentral
AACGCUAGCUACAGGCUUAACACAUGCAAGUCGAGGGGCAGCAUGGCGGGUGCUUGCAUCUGCCGAUGGCGACCGGCGCACGGGUGAGUAACGCGUAUCCAACCUGCCCAUCACUUGGGGAUAACCUUGCGAAAGUAAGACUAAUACCCAAUGACGUCUCUAGAAGACAUCUGAAAGAGAUUAAAGAUUUAUCGGUGAUGGAUGGGGAUGCGUCUGAUUAGCUUGUUGGCGGGGUAACGGCCCACCAAGGCGACGAUCAGUAGGGGUUCUGAGAGGAAGGUCCCCCACAUUGGAACUGAGACACGGUCCAAACUCCUACGGGAGGCAGCAGUGAGGAAUAUUGGUCAAUGGACGAGAGUCUGAACCAGCCAAGUAGCGUGCAGGAAGACGGCCCUAUGGGUUGUAAACUGCUUUUAUAAGGGAAUAAAGUGAGUCUCGUGAGACUUUUUGCAUGUACCUUAUGAAUAAGGACCGGCUAAUUCCGUGCCAGCAGCCGCGGUAAUACGGAAGGUCCGGGCGUUAUCCGGAUUUAUUGGGUUUAAAGGGAGCGUAGGCCGGAGAUUAAGCGUGUUGUGAAAUGUAGACGCUCAACGUCUGCACUGCAGCGCGAACUGGUUUCCUUGAGUACGCACAAAGUGGGCGGAAUUCGUGGUGUAGCGGUGAAAUGCUUAGAUAUCACGAAGAACUCCGAUUG